Molecule: ribosomal RNA, 279 nt
Filed under: uncultured bacterium
Lineage: Bacteria
Description: partial 16S ribosomal RNA
Rfam family: Bacterial small subunit ribosomal RNA
Source: RNAcentral
UGCCAGCCGCCGCGGUAAUACAGAGACCUCAAGCGUUAUUCGGAUUUACUGGGCGUAAAGGGUGCGCAGGCGGCCAAGUGUGUCGGAGGUGAAAUCUUGCAGCUUAACUGUAAAAUUGCCUACGAAACUACUUGGCUAGAGUAUCGGAGAGGAUAGCGGAAUUCCAGGUGUAGCAGUGAAAUGCGUAGAUAUCUGGAGGAACACCAAUGGCGAAGGCAGCUAUCUGGACGAUUACUGACGCUCAGGCACGAAAGCAUGGGGAGCGAAAGGGAUUAGAUA